CUGUUGGGUCUUUCUAAUACAAGAAUUUCAGUUUAUUUAGAAAACGACUUAAUCAGUAAUCUAAAGUCAUUAGAAUAUAUGUCUCUUCGUAAUUGUAACAUUAUAAGGUCAGAUCUGGCUCUGCUUGGUAAUCUCACACAGCUCACCUAUUUAGAUCUCUCAAGUAACAAUUUUAUAGGUGAGAUCCCAUCAUCAAUUGGAAACAAUACCUUUUCAAAUUUAAAAUAUCUAUUAUUAUUUGAUAACUUGUUCAAUGGAACAAUACCAUCCUUUUUGUUUGCUCUUCCCUCUUUACAAUUUCUUAACCUUCAUAACAAUAAUCUCAUAGGCAAUAUAAGUGAAUUCCAACACCAUUCAUUGGUAAACCUUGAUUUGAGCAGUAACCACUUGCAUGGUACAAUCCCAAGUUCAAUUUUCAAACAAUAUCAAUGUGAAAUUUCAUUCUAUAAGAGAAGCUGAGAAAAAUCUGCUUAUAAAGCUACACUAUUGUCCAACAGAUGUUCAACUGAGGUCCUAGACUUGUCCGACAACAGCUUGAGUGGUUCUAUACCAUUAUGUUUGGGGAACUUCAGCAGCAAGCUCUCAGUAGUGUUAGAAUUAUGAGAUUCUGCCUUGAGUAAGAUAGAGUUAAGUGCAGUUAUGUUAUUUGAAUUUUAUGUAAUCGUUUUUCUUCUUCAGGAUUUGCAGCAGGAACUUUCUGCUAAGUUUGUUAUUUCAAUUCCAAUAAUCUCUCAAGUUUGUUGAGAGUUUCAAUCCAUUACAAGUUCUAUGUAAGUCUAUAUAUAGACAUUUGAAAUUAAUGAUAUUAUUGAUCUUUCUACUCAACUCUGCUAUCUUGAAUCUGUUUUUCUUAUACUUAAACUACAGUUUCCAGAACUAAAUAUUUCUAACAAGUAUUGCAUCUAGGCAUGAACAAUCUUCAAGGCACUAUCCCUUCAACAUUUUCAAAGGGUAAUAGCUUGGAAUAUCUCGACCUCAAUGGAAAUGAAUUAGAAGGGGAAAUAUCACCAUCUAUCAUCAACUGCACAAUGUUGGAAGUUCUUGAUCUUGGCAACAAUAAGAUUGAGGAUACAUUUCCUUAUUUUCUAGAAACGCUUCCGGAGCUGCAAAUUCUAAUUCUAAAAUCCAAUAACCUCCAAGGUUUUGUGAAGGGUCCGACUGCAGAUAAUUCCUUCUUUAAAUUAUGGAUUUUUGACAUCUCUGACAAUAAUUUUAGUGGGCCGUUGCCAACAGGGUAUUUUAAUACUCUUGAAGCAAUGAUGAUCUCAGAUCAAAACAUGAUUUACCUUAACACGACAAAUGACAUUGUCUGUGUUCAUUCCAUAGAAAUGACAUGGAAAGGUGUAGAAAUUGAGUUUCCGAAGAUCCGAAGUACCAUCAGAGUACUAGAUUUGUCAAAUAACAGUUUUACUGGAGAGAUUCCAAAGGUGAUCGGAAAGCUUAAAGCACUACAACAACUCAACCUCUCUCAUAAUUUCCUUACAGGUCAUAUCCAAUCAUCAGUGGGAAAUUUGACCAAUUUGGAAUCAUUAGACCUAUCUUCAAAUUUGCUUACCGGAAGGAUUCCAAUGCAGAUGGCACAUCUAACAUUUCUUGCAACCCUAAACCUUUCACAUAACCAGCUGGAGGGGCCCAUACCAAGUGGAGAGCAAUUCAACACCUUUGAUGCAAGAUCAUUUGAAGGAAACUCGGGUUUAUGUGGCUUUCAAGUACUAAAAGAAUGCUACGGUGACGAGGCACCAUCAUUGCCGCCAUCAAGCUUUAAUGAAGGAGAUGAUUCAACAUUGUUUGGAGAAGGAUUUGGAUGGAAAGCUGUGACAAUAGGGUAUGGAUGCGGGUUUCUGUUUGGAGUUGCAACGGGAUACGUUGUGUUUAGAACAAAUAAACCUUCAUGGUUACUUAGGAUGGUUGAAGAUAUAUGGAAUCUCAAGAGCAAAAACACGAAGAAGAAUUUCCGCAGAUAUGGUGCUAGAAGAAACUAAAUAAUUCAAUUGAUAUUUUCAAGUAAGUUUUGCAAGCAUUUGAGUUUUCAAAUUUUAUGUUCACAAUUUAUGUUAGGCUAACUUUUCUCUACUCUUUCAUUUGAUCAGUCUUACCUUUCUAAUUUUGCAGUACAAACAAGAUAUCAAGUGGAUUUGACAUUGAAACAACACCAGGGUGGCAUAUUCCCUUUACUUUUUUCUCUCUUUUUUUAGUUUCAAGGUUAAUUGGGUGUUUCUUUUAUGAAAACGAAUCCAUGUAUGUAACACAGGUUUGUGUUAACUAUAAAAUCAUUUAUGUUUUGGGUCCUAUUUUUAUGUGUCCACUUCCUUAUUCUUUAUAACUUCAAUUAAUCUUUGUUUCUGGGAGUGUUCUGAAAGUUACAGAGUUAUGAACAGAUAGAAGCAAUUCUUGUAAAUUUAAAAGAACACUUGACUGAUAGAUUCUGUUAUCACAACAGCAGCAAUAUUUGCAAGCAAAAUAGAGUAAUUCUGAUAACUUGGAAGUCAUAAAUGACUAUUAAAAAGUGUAACAAACCCAUCUCAAAAGGUACAAACAAUGUUCGACAACUCUUACACAGAUCCAAAAUCAGUCAACAUUGGUGAUUGGCAAGUUUAUAUCUAAAGCAAAAGAAAGCAAGAUAGGUAUUAAUACCACGUUAAGAGCUCUAUGCUACAAUAAAUCUACAAUUCUGAGUCGCCUAAAAACAACAUAUUCUACUUAGAACAUUUCAGAAUUGGAAAAAAAAUUAAAAUAAUUUAAAAUACAAUUUCUCUUGGCCUCAUAUUAAGAAAAAAACAGAUGAAUAUUUCAAGGGUCCUGAUUAUCCAACUGAAGAUUCAAGAUUUGAGAUACUACGAGUUUAGAGAGUUCAUUAGUUGUGGAUUCAACCUGAUAGUCAUCUGACUGCCUUGGCCACCCAGGUGAAUGAGAGCUUGACCUAGUCUUGGUUGGUGUGCCAUGAACUCUCUGCAAGUCUGACUGGGACAAUGGCAUUGGAUAGAGCACAACAGGCAACAAUUACCAAAACUUUUCCAUGACACCCUCAGGCAUGCAUGGGAUUUCUAUGCAAAUAUUACAAAUCAAUAAAAAUACCUUGAAAAAUUAGCUGGGAAUAUAACAAAUCACAGAUGAGAACUAUAUUGUUCAAUAUACUAUAAAAUAACUGAUGGAAGCAUGGAACAACACGAUGAUAAAUAUAUACUUACACUAGAUUUUUCCCCUUUGUUCACCUCAUCCAAUAGGUCCCUAAUAGGAAAAUAAGCUACUUUCUUGCAAGGUUCAAGAAGAUCUGAACCAGUGUAGCCCUUACACAAAAUUGCUAUACAGUCAAAGUCAAUUUUGCUUUUGAUUUUCUCCUCUUUCAAAACAACCUUCAAGAUCUCAGCCCUCUCUCUUUGAUCAGGUAUCCCAAUUUCAAAGGCCUGAGGAAGCCUCCGGAGGAUUGCUUCAUCGAGUUCUUAAGGUCAGUUGGUUGCAGCAAGUAACAUCUCUUGUGCGUUCUCUUCAAAACAGCCUUCAAGAUCUCAGCCCUCUCUCUUUGAUCAGGUAUCCAAAUUUCAAAGGCCUGAGGAAGCCGCCAGAGGAUUGCUUCAUCGAUUUCUUAAGGUCAGUUGGUUGCAGCAAGUAACAUCUCUUGUGCGUUCUCUUAAGAAUAGUAUCACCAUAAAAUAAAUAAUAAUCAAAAUAAUAAAGAUAAAAUCUAAAAAAUAAAAAAAUAAAAGAUGAAGAAAUUAAAAUAAUAAUAAUUAAUAUUUCAUAAAUUAUUUCAAAUAAAAUAAGUAAUAAUCAAAAGAAUGAAGAUCAAAUUUGAUACAUAAAAAAUUUCAAUAAAAAAAUGAUAAGAGAAAAACAAAUAACAAUUAUAAAAAUAAGGACCAAAGUUAAUAUAAAAAUUAAAUUUUAAGAGAUGAAAUUGAAAAAUAAAUAUUCAAAACAAAAUAUAUAUAGAAAUCAAAAGUUUGAGGACCAAAUUUGAUAUAAUCAGCAAAUAAUAUGACAUUUCUAAAUUUUUCACAAUUUCCGGAAAGUGUUUUCUGCCCAAAUUUUUCAGGAAAACAAUUUCCUGAAAACCAAGUUAAAUUUUCCUUUAACUGUAAAGUAUUUUCCAUUGAUCAACUUUUCUAAUAAUAAACAAACACAAAAAAAUUUAAAAAAUAAUUUUUUAAAAAUAAUUUUUCAGGAAACAAACAUAGCCUUCAUAAAAACACAUUCUAGCAAGUCACUGCAUAAAAAGACUACACAAAUGCAGCACUUGUUUCAAGAGUAAGAACUCACGAUCUGUAGUAAACCCAUCCCAUAAUGCUAUGAACUCAGUCUUCAUAGUGGUUAAUGCCUCAUGAUCUGUAGUACGAUACUGCCAUAUUCAAUAGUGUUUAGAGGAUAGGCUUGAUUGUUACAGAGCAUUUGCAAUUAAGGUUUCAUAAUUGAAAAGUUGGUUUUCGAAUCCUAAUUUCAUCAUAAAACCCAAUUACAAUCGAUUUGAUGUAUUCAAAGUAAUUUAAUGAUAUUUUUUAAUAUUAAUCUCAAAAUUUUAAUAUAUUAAACAACUUUAUUAGUUUGUUUUCCAUUUGUCAGAAAACACAUCAAGAACNNNNNNNNNNNNNNNNNNNNNNNNNNNNNNNNNNNNNNNNNNNNNNNNNNNNNNNNNNNNNNNNNNNNNNNNNNNNNNNNNNNNNNNNNNNNNNNNNNNNCGAUCUCUUAGUUUGCAUUUUAGAAUGAACAAUCGCAUGAAAAACAAUCCCUGAAAAUAAUUAUCCUUUUUCUGAGCACAACUGAUUUCAGCUGAAAAGAGGGGAAAGGAAAAUAAUUAUCCUUUUUCUUCCAACAACCUAUCCCCAGAAAAGAUAUUUAAUCCAUUCAGAAAAUCAAUAUUGUCAUGCAUGUUCCUAUUCUUAUUCUCAUUAAUUAAUGAAAUGUUUUUUUGACACUAUGGUAGCUUUUGUUUUUUUUAUAAAAACAUAUUGCCUAAAAAAGCAUUAAAUUAAAUAUUUUGUGUUUUUUAAUGUUUUUGAUGUGUUUAUAUAUAUUAAAAUUAAAAAGAAUUAAAUAUAUUUUCAAUUAAAAAAUACAUUCAAAAAAUAUAUUGCACAACAUUAUGAAUCACACAGAAAGACUUUUAGGUAAUGAGAAAUGAUAUAUGUGCAAAGUCAUUAGUGCUCCAUUGCUUGGAUUGGAUUGGACAUAAGGAGGUGAACAUGACUUUGCUUAUCAAUUUUUUUUUAUUUCAGUUACGUAUGCAUAAUCCCAUAGUUUAAUUAUUUUUUAUUUAAAAUAGAAAAAGGAAAAAUCAAAGUAUAUCAAUUGAAGGAAUGAUAAGCCUGAAAAGUAUUUUAAAAAAAACAAAAUAUUACUAAUCAAGAUUUGUCAAAUAACUAUUUAGUUAUUUUUAAUACUAAAAGGAUUAAUUAAUUUAAGAAAUAUUAGCAACCUCUAAAACACUAUCUAAUCCUUUUAAGAAAUCAAUAUUUAUUUUUUUAUGUUUUUUUAUGAUUUUAAUAUAUUUAUAUUAAACAUUAAAAAUAAAUUUUAAAAAUGCCAUAUUAAUAUAUUUUCAAAUAAAGAAUACAUUUGGAAAAUAAUUAAACUGCCGUACAUUACCGAGCGCAUACAAAAAGUAUGAUCCAUAAGUGCAAAGUCGUUAGUGCCCCCAUUGCUUUGCGUAAUUAUUUCUUUGCCAAUAGACAACAAUUUAGUUUGCGCAAUUUGAAAGGAACCUUACAUAUUUCCAAGGUUUUUAUUCUUACUUUAUUUUUUUAAUUAUUAAAUCCUAAAAAAUAUUCAAAUAUAUCGAAAUAACAUGUUUUUAAAAACAUUGAAAACCAUAUAAAAAAAUAUUAAUUUGAUACUCUUACGAUUACCACUAGAUAAGCUAAAAAUAAAGUUCUAAUUAGUAUUAUAAGCCAUAUGUUGAGCUACAAGUUUUUAUUUAUUUAUUCUUAUGAAUUUUAAUAUAAAAGGGUAUGAUAUUGUGUAAGUGAUAUUUUAUCCUUAGAUGUAUAAAAUUCUUCCUAAAUAUUUGACACAGUCUCAUGUUUGAUAAAUUUCAAAUCAUUGAUAAUUUAGAUUUGAAAUAUCAACUUUUUGAUGCCAACAUCAUGAUCAUCUUGUUCUAUAAUUGGGAUUAAUUCAUUAGUUUCAAGUAACAUUUUUCUAUAUUCCUAGUAGUAUAAAAAUCUUUUAAGGACCUAAUAUAUUUCUAUCACUAUUAAUAUUUUAUAACGAAUAUUUAUCUCUCAUUAAUAUUUUGCAAGAAAUAUUUGUUUCUCAUUUAUUAUUGCUAAAAGAAGGAAAUGACUCUUAAUAACUUAGUUUUUGAAAUAUUAAUUUGAAACAAAAAAAAAAUUCAAUUGUUUUAAAAAGCGUUUUUGAAACGAAAAACAAACAAAACCCACUAAUGUGCAAUUUAAUCACUUAGCUUUAAAGUACUUCAUGUGGAAGUAACUUAGUAGUAGGUGACUUAGAGGAAGAGUCUAAUGAUGCUAUUUAUCCUCUCUAUUAAUCAAUAGUUCUUUCUUAUUCAUCCUAUCUAGUUUCAAACCAUUUUUAUUUUAUUAAUUAAUAGUUUAUUUUUUUAAUUAACAUGAAUAUCCGGCAACUCAAUUUAUUAACAUCUAGUAACUUAGUACUAGUGAAUUAAGGGACUUCUCCUCGCGUGAAAUAUUCACUGACUUUGAUUAUCAAUUUUUUUUCAAUUAUGUAUACAUAAUUCCAUAGUUUAAAUUAUUUUUUUUUAGAAUAGAAAAAGGAAAAAUCAAAGUAUAUCAAUUCAAGGAAUGAAAAGACUUUGGAUCAUGAGAAACAAGUUAUAUAUAUAUAUAUUAGUGCGAAGUCAUUGGUGCCAAGAAACCACAAUUCAGUUUGCACAAUUUGAAGUCAACAGGGAAUCAAGUUGAUAGGAACCUUAAAUAUUGAUGAUGUUGUUCGGGUUUACGUAGUUUUGUGGUUUUUAAAUUUAUAUUUUUAAAUUGCCUUGUAAUAAACUUAUUGAUAGAAUUCGGAUUCAGGAUUCUAUAGGUUGCAAGCUUUUUAAGAUUUGACCAUGUUUAUGAUGUUAUUCGGGUUUACGUAGUUUUUACAGAUGUUUACAAUUUCACCACCUAUGAUUUUUCUUAAUUUUUAUAAUUUUUUCCGAUCUCAUCCUUUAAAAUUAAAUUGGUUGAAAAUUAUGCUUCUUGAUUGAAUCUAGGUAAAAAAAUUCAAUAGAUGCUGCUUUUAGAUAUUAAAUCAGGUUUAAGAGAUUUAUCCUAUUUUUUUUAUUUUUCUAAAUUGAUGUUGUCUUAUUUUUUAUCCUUUUUUUUUUACUUUUUUUAUAUUUUUUUGUUUAAUUCUCUAUUUUUAUUUUAUUUUUUAUUUGAUUAUAUUGGGUUAGCCGUCGACAAUUUUUUUAUAUUUCAUGCCCACCAUUUUGAAAUCUAUAAAUAUUCUAUCAUAUUACAAAUGAUUUUUAAUUUCACCCCCUAUGAUUUUUUAAUCUUCAAGUUUGGUACUAAUUUUUUUUAAUUGAAAUUUUUUUUGUUUUGAAUAAUUGCGAUAUUUCUAGCAUAUGUUUGCUUGAUUUUUUUUAUCCCUUUUUUUAAGCCAAUAUUUUUUGUUAUUUGUUUUUUUUUUUAAGAUUGACUCUUUUUUUUUCUUUGUUUUUUUUUCCAGUUAGGUUAACAUUGAGUUGUGUGAUAAUCUAAAUAGGUUCAGAUGUGGGUUUUUUUUGUCAGUUUAUUUGUUGUUGUUGUUGGAUUUUUUUUAACUUAUCAUUUUUUUAUAUUAAAGUAAUUGUUUGACUUGCAAGAACACGCGGACAACAUAUCUAGUUAUAAACCAAAUGAGAUAUAAUCCACACUCUUUAACAUAUUGAUACGAAAUAUAGAGGUUUGAAAUGUAUAGUUAUAUUUAUUCAGUCAAUGCAUGAUUCACUCUAUUUUUUUUUGUUAAAACAAGUAUGGUAUAGCAAAUUAAUCAUGAUUUUUUUAAAAGCAGGGCAUGUAAUUAAUGCUUUUAACAUGAAAGAAAUCACCAAUUUUUAUCACUAAUCCACAAUAUAAUUGAUUCUGCAAUUUUGAAGUUGGAAACCACAAUAAAUAGCUUACUCACCAGAUGCAUUAACCUAAUUUUAAAUGCAAAGGCCUUCAGCUUCAAGUGGCAUAUAUGUCAAUUCAUAUCAACUCUAACUCGACGCAACCAUUCUUUUUUUUUUUUAUUUAAAGAAAAGGCUUAUAAUAUAUAUUUUUUAAAGCUGCUAAGUGCUAAUCAAUGUUUCUUAAGUAAAACAUGAAAUCAUGCUCUUAACAUGAAACUAAUUAUGAGUUGGAAUCCACAUAAUUAGCUUAUAAUGCGUUAAUUUCAUUUUAAACGACAUGAUCUUCAACCUCAAGAGGCAAAUAAUUUGUCAACAUAGAUAGCUAUUCGUGCAAAGUAAACUCUCACAAGCUUAGUUUUGUUGUAAAAUAUUAAGUAUCCUCCAUUUUUUUAUAUAAAUAAUUAAUUUCUUGAAAAAUAUAUAAGUCUGAACAUGGAUGUAAUUUUUUUAGUGCAAUCAAAAGCACUUAGCAGCUUUGAAGAUAUUGAUCCAAACAUCCUAUUGUACAAAAAAAUGUUAUAUGAACAUCACUAAUGUUGAUUUGAAGAUAUUGAUCAUGUUAUUAUUUCUUUUAACAAAGCAAUCCAAUCGAGCCCACCUAGAAUUAAAACUAAAACUCACCGUCCCUUUCAAUAUUGAGUUCCAAUAAAAGGUAAAAAUAAAGUGCAAUAUUGGACGAAAAGAAAGUGCAAAAUUGAAACUCACCGUCCCUUUCAAUAUUGAGUUCUUACUCCCAAAAAAAUAAGUAAAUGUAAAUUGAUGUAAUUUAUUUGUAACAAGCUAUUAAACUCGAUUAGUUCAUGUUGAUUUUCUUAAAAAUUAAGUGGAAGUUGAACUAAUAUAAUUUAAAUGACCUAAUCAUGAUUUAGUUGAUACUAUCAAAAUCUAAGACAAUUUUAAAAAAAAUUAAAAUAAUAUUAUUUUAAUUAAUAGAGCUUAACCUGUGAUCUAGAUUUUUUAUCUGAGUUUUAAUAAUCAAAGAGUUGGAUUUUACCAUCUAGAUGUAAUUUUAACAUCUUCUCUGCUUCAUAUCCACAAAACUUGGGUUAGAGAAAAACAAAUAUCAUAAACAUUUCUUACCCAUAAUAAAGUAACUUUUUUUCUCUCUAAAAAAUGCAAAAGAACUCUCUUCAUUUUAUUUAUGUCAAGUAGUUAAUCAAAUCAAAUUAACCACACUUUGAUGCAUGCUCAUAGCUUAAUGUACAAAUAAUGCGCACAUAAUUUUCCACUGAAUUAAGGUGAUUUAAACGGAGAUAUUUAUUGCCCUAUUCCUUUCAGCAAAAUGGUUUCCUUCUUGGAGGGUGUAUAUAUGUGGUGUUUGUUUUGGAAUCAUUUUUGAUUCCUAGGACGAUUGUGCUAUGACGAGAGGAUUCCCUUUGCACGAAGCAACCAAUUUUGAUUCUUAUCGCAUCAUCCUAUGAACCAGAAAUUAAUGGUCCAAAACAGCGGUCCCACCUAUAGUAUGAUAAGAUCAUCAAUCAUCAAAUACCAUCCCCACCAUUUCCUGGGCCCACCCCACCAUCCACAUGAUCUCUCUCUCUCUCUUACAUCAAUCAUUUUUUUUGACAUGAUAUUUCUAUACUAAUGGCCUUAAAACUUGCCUUUCUCCUCUGGUUAACUGAUCUUGACAUGUUUUGGCCACACGUCUUUUGCUAAUGUUGUCUUUUUUGAUCCUUCCACUAUACAUUAUAUCUUAAUUUGAUCCUUGUCCUAUUUGCUAAUGUUGACCAAUGCUAAAACCACUACUAUAAAAAUUCUAUUGACUAGUUGAAAAGAAACAUUCCUUCCUGCUUAAGGAAUCUUGAAUGGGUCUAAACUCCAUAUGAAUGGCUGUUCUUUUAGCAAAUUUUCAUUCCAAUGUAAUGUUUGAUGAUUUAUAAAUAAAUUAUUGUCUAUUCCUUGAUUUAUGAAUGUGAUUAUAAUUUAGUCUUUCAUGUUCAAAAAUCUACCACUAAGUAUGUGUUUGAUAAUACGGUGCAGAGAACUUUUUAAAAUAUUCUUUAAUUAAAAAUACAUUAAAAUAACAUGUCUUUUUAAAAAAAGACAUCGACAUAUUAAAAACAUUGAAAACCAUAUAAAAAUAUCAAUUUGAUGCUUUUACAGCUACCACUAAACGAGCUAAAAAGAAAUUCUAAUUAGCAUUAUAGGCCUCGUGUUGGACUACAAAGUUUUAUUUGUUUAUUCUUAUAAAUUUUAAUAUAAAAUGGUAUAGUAUUGUAAAAGUGAUAUUUGUCCCCGAGGGUAUAAAAGUCUUCCUAAAUAUUUGGCACAAUCUCAUGUUUGAUAAAUUUCAAAUCAUUGAUAAUUUAGAUUUGAAAAAUCAACUUUUGAUGUCAACAUCAUGAUCAUUUUGUUCAAUAGAUGAGAUUAAUUCAUCAGUUUCAAGUAUCAUCUUCCUAUAUUCCUAGGAGUAUAAAAGUCUUCUAAAGGCUUACAUGUUUCCAUCACCAUUAAUAUUUUAUAACAGAUAUUUAUCACUUAUUAAUAUCGUACAAGAGAUAUUUGUUCCUCAUUUAAUGUUACGUAAGAAUUAUUUAUCUUUUAUUAUUGAUAUAAGAAGAAAAUGACUUUUCAGGCCAUUCACUCCAGCAAAAUGAUAAGGUUCAAGAGCUAUAAAUACUCAUUAAAUCAUCAAGGUAAAAGGUUUACAAUCUUCAUUAUUUAUUGUAUACAUAUUUUUUAAUUAUUUGUUUACAUAAUCUAAUAGUUAAAUUAUUUUUUAUUUAAAAUAGAAUAAGAAAAAAUGAAAAAUCAAAGUAUAUAAAUUGAAAGAUUGAUAAGCAAGAAAAGUAUUUUUUUUUUAAAAAAAGUACUAUUGAAAUAAGCAUGGUUAAAAUUGGUCACAACUAUUUAAUUACUUUUAAUAUUAAAAGGAUUGGUUAAUUUGAUAAAAAUUAGCAAUCCCUAAAACACUAUUUAAUCCGUUUAGGAAAUCAAUAUCGACGUGUUUCUAUUCUUAAAACAUGUUAGUACGGUGGAGAUUGCUUUUAAAAAUAUUUUUUUAUUUGAAAAUAUAUCAAAAUAAUAUUUUUAUGUUUUUUAGAUUUAUUUUUGAAAAAAAUUAAUAUUUUUAUAUUUUUAAUAUAUUUUUAUAUUAUUUUGAUGUAUUGGAGUAAAUAACGCUCAGUUAACGCUGGACUAGCUACAAAGAAAGUUCUAAUUAACACAGACUUCAUCUCAACAAAAUGUUAAAGGAAAUAUUCUAAUUAAAUAAUUCAACCCUCAGUUCCAUAUCCAGCACCACAAGAAGAUCAGACAAUAUCUAUAUAUCCAAGUUCCGAAGACUUUUCUGGACCAUUGCCUAUUGCUUUCUGACCUUGAUAUAAAAUUGACACUUCACGAGGGUCCCAAUUUUACUGCAUGAUCGGUUAGUACACUACAACAGCUAAGCACUGCACUCCUUCAGAUUUUUCUUCGUUCUAACACAAAAAUCUCAUAGUUUAGAUUAUUUUUUAUUUAAAUAGAAAAAAGGAAAAAUCAAAGUAUAUAUCAAUUGAAAGAAAGAAAUUUUUUUUUAAUGCUUCUCCCAGUGACUUUGAUUUCGUCAGUAUACAAUCUAAGACUGUAGCGUUUGUCUAUAUAUACUACUAAUAAUGCCUUUCUUUACUUCUCAUCUUAAAUUCCCAGUUAUACUUUGAAUCCUGUAAGGCCAGCCAACAUGGGGUUUACACCACCGUGCCUCUCUCAAUCUCUCUUUUUCAUUCUGUUUCUCUUCCAUUUCCACUCAACAAUUUCAUCUCCACUCUCCUCGAAUUACCAAUCUCUUUCUCUCCUUCAAUUCAAACAAUCCUUCUCCAUUGAUAGUUCUGCUUCAUCAGAGUACUGUCAAUAUCCCUUGCCAAAAACAGAGUCAUGGAAAGAGGGUACAGACUGCUGCUUGUGGGAUGGGGUCACUUGUGACCUGAAAACCGGGCAUGUCACUGGACUGGACCUCUCUUGCAGCAUGCUUUACGGCACCCUCCUUCCCAAUAAUUCUCUCUUUUCUCUCCGUCAUCUUCAAAACCUCGACCUCUCUUUCAAUGAUUUCAACUCCUCUCAUAUUUCUUCUCGAUUUGGCCAGUUCUCCAGUCUAACACAUCUUAACCUCAGUGGUUCAAUUCUUGAAGGCCAAGUUCCAUCAGAAGUCGCUCACCUCUCCAAAUUGGUUUCUCUUGAUCUCUCUUUGAACUACGGUCUAAGUCUAGAACCAAUUUCUUUUGACAAGCUUGUUCGAAACCUAACCAAGCUUAGAGAACUCGAUUUGAGUUCGGUAGACAUGUCACUACUUGUUCCCGAUUCCUUGAUGAAUCUGUCUUCUUCUCUGUCAUCGCUCAAACUCAAUGACUGUGGAUUGCGAGGAAAAUUCCCAUCCUCAAUGGGGAAAUUUAAGCACCUUCAGUACUUGGAUCUUGGAGGGAACAAUCUUACUAGUCCAAUUCCAUAUGAUUUUGAGCAACUCACUGAGAUGGUUUCACUUGAUCUCUCUGGAAACGGCUAUCUAAGUCUAGAACCAAUUUCCUUUGACAAGCUUGUUCGAAACCUAACCAAGCUUAGAGAACUCGAUCUGAGUUCGGUAGACAUGUCACUACUUGUUCCCGAUUCCUUGAUGAAUCUGUCUUCUUCUCUGUCGUCACUCAAACUCAUUGACUGUAGAUUGCAAGGAAAACUCCCAUCCUUAAUGGGGAAAUUUAAGCACCUCCAGUACUUGCGUCUUCGAGGGAACAAUCUUACUGGUUCAAUUCCAUGUGAUUUUGAGCAACUCAUAGAGUUGGUUUCACUUGAUCUCUCUGAAAACUUCUAUCUAAGUCCAGAACCAAUUUGUUUUGACAAGCUUGUUCGAAACUUAACCAAGCUUAGAGAACUCAAUUUGGCUUCUGUAAAUAUGUCUUUGGUUGCACCUAAUUCCUUGACGAAUCUGUCCUCUUCUUUGUCAUCUCUCUCCCUCAGUAAGUGUGGAUUGCAGGGGAAAUUCCCGGGUAACAUCUUUCUCCUCCCAAACCUUGAAUUUCUCUAUUUGUCACAAAACAAAGGCCUCACUGGCUCUUUUCCUUCGUCCAAUUUGAGUAAUGUCCUCUUUCUGUUGGGUCUUUCUAAUACAAGAAUUUCAGUUUAUUUAGAAAACGACUUAAUCAGUAAUCUAAACUCAUUAGAAUAUAUGUCUCUUCGUAAUUGUAACAUUAUAAGGUCAGAUCUGGCUCUGCUUGGUAAUCUCACACAGCUCACCUAUUUAGAUCUCUCAAGUAACAAUUUUAUAGGUGAGAUCCCAUCAUCAAUUGGAAACAAUACCUUUUCAAAUUUAAAAUAUCUAUUAUUAUUUGAUAACUUGUUCAAUGGAACAAUACCAUCCUUUUUGUUUGCUCUUCCCUCUUUACAAUUUCUUAACCUUCAUAACAAUAAUCUCAUAGGCAAUAUAAGUGAAUUCCAACACCAUUCAUUGGUAAACCUUGAUUUGAGCAGUAACCACUUGCAUGGUACAAUCCCAAGUUCAAUUUUCAAACAAGAGAACUUGGAAGCCCUCAUUCUUGUGUCCAAUAGUAAAUUGACAGGUGAGAUUUCUUCUUCUAUUUGCAAGCUGAGAUCCCUUGAGGUCCUAGACUUGUCCGACAACAGCUUGAGUGGUUCUAUACCAUUAUGUUUGGGGAACUUCAGCAGCAAGCUCUCAGUAUUGCAUCUAGGCAUGAACAAUCUUCAAGGCACUAUCCCUUCAACAUUUUCAAAGGGUAAUAGCUUGGAAUAUCUCGACCUCAAUGGAAAUGAAUUAGAAGGGGAAAUAUCACCAUCUAUCAUCAACUGCACAAUGUUGGAAGUUCUUGAUCUUGGCAACAAUAAGAUUGAGGAUACAUUUCCUUAUUUUCUAGAAACGCUUCCGGAGCUGCAAAUUCUAAUUCUAAAAUCCAAUAACCUCCAAGGUUUUGUGAAGGGUCCGACUGCAGAUAAUUCCUUCUUUAAAUUAUGGAUUUUUGACAUCUCUGACAAUAAUUUUAGUGGGCCGUUGCCAACAGGGUAUUUUAAUACUCUUGAAGCAAUGAUGAUCUCAGAUCAAAACAUGAUUUACCUUAACACGACAAAUGACAUUGUCUGUGUUCAUUCCAUAGAAAUGACAUGGAAAGGUGUAGAAAUUGAGUUUCCGAAGAUCCGAAGUACCAUCAGAGUACUAGAUUUGUCAAAUAACAGUUUUACUGGAGAGAUUCCAAAGGUGAUCGGAAAGCUUAAAGCACUACAACAACUCAACCUCUCUCAUAAUUUCCUUACAGGUCAUAUCCAAUCAUCAUUGGGAAAUUUGACCAAUUUGGAAUCAUUAGACCUAUCUUCAAAUUUGCUUACCGGAAGGAUUCCAAUGCAGAUGGCACAUCUAACAUUUCUUGCAACCCUAAACCUUUCACAUAACCAGCUGGAGGGGCCCAUACCAAGUGGAGAGCAAUUCAACACCUUUGAUGCAAGAUCAUUUGAAGGAAACUCGGGUUUAUGUGGCUUUCAAGUACUAAAAGAAUGCUACGGUGACGAGGCACCAUCAUUGCCGCCAUCAAGCUUUAAUGAAGGAGAUGAUUCAACAUUGUUUGGAGAAGGAUUUGGAUGGAAAGCUGUGACAAUAGGGUAUGGAUGCGGGUUUCUGUUUGGAGUUGCAACGGGAUACGUUGUGUUUAGAACAAAUAAACCUUCAUGGUUACUUAGGAUGGUUGAAGAUAUAUGGAAUCUCAACAGCAAAAACACGAAGAAGAAUUUCCGCAGAUAUGGUGCUAGAAGAAACUAAAUAAUUCAAUUGAUAUUUUCAAGUAAGUUUUGCAAGCAUUUGAGUUUUCAAAUUUUAUGUUCACAAUUUAUGUUAGGCUAACUUUUCUCUACUCUUUCAUUUGAUCAGUCUUACCUUUCUAAUUUUGCAGUACAAACAAGAUAUCAAGUGGAUUUGGCAUUGAAACAACACCAGGGUGGCAUAUUCCCUUUACUUUUUUCUCUUUUUUUAGUUUCAAGGUUAAUUGGGUGUUUCUUUUAUGAAAACGAAUCCAUGUAUGUAACACAGGUUUGUGUUAACUAUAAAAUCAUUUAUGUUUUGGGUCCUAUUUUUAUGUGUCCAUUUCCUUAUUCUUUAUCACUUCAAUCAAUCUUUGUUUCUGGGAGUGUUCUGAAAGUUAAAGAGUUAUGAACAGAUAGAAGCAAUUCUUGUAAAUUCAAAAGAACACUUGACUGAUAGAUUCUGUUAUCACAACAGCAGCAAUAUUUGCAAGCAAAAUAGAGUAAUUCUGAUAACUUGUAAGUCAUAAAUAACUAUUAAAAAGUGUAACAAACCCAUCUCAAAAGGUACAAACAAUGUUCGACAACAACAAAUCAGUCAACAUUGGUGAUUGGCAAGUUUAUAUCUAAAGCAAAAGAAAGCAAGAUAGGUAUUAAUUAAUACCACGUUAAGAGCUCUAUGCUACAACAAAUCUACAAUUCUGAGUCGCCUACAAACAGCAUUUUCUACUUAGAACAUUUUAGAAUUGGAAAAAAAAAAUUAAAAUAAUUUAAAAUACAAUUUCUCUUGGCCUCAUAUUAAGAAAAAAACAGAUGAAUAUUUCAAGGGUCCUGAUUAUCCAACUGAAGAUUCAAGAUUUGAGAUACUACGAGUUUAGAGAGUUCAUUAGUUGUGGCUUCAACCUGAUAGUCAUCUGACUGCCUUGGCCACCCAGGUGAAUGAGAGCUUGACCUAGUCUUGGUUGGUGUGCCAUGAACUCUCUGCAAGUCUGAUUGGGACAAUGGCCUUGGAUAGAGCACAACAGGCAACAAUUACCAAAACUUUUCCAUGACACCCUCAGGCAUGCAUGGGAUUUCUAUGCAAAUAUUACAAAUCAAUAAAAAUACCUUGAAAAAUUAGCUGGGAAUAUAACAAAUCACAAAUGAGAACUAUAUUGUUCAAUAUACUAUAAAAUAACUGAUGGAAGCAUGGAACAACACGAUGAUAAAUAUAUACUUACACUAGAUUUUUCCCCUUUGUUCUCCUCAUCCAAUAGGUCCCUAAUAGGAAAAUAAGCUACUUUCUUGCAAGGUUCAAGAAGAUCUGAACCAGUGUAGCCCUUACACAAAAUUGCUAUACAGUCAAAGUCAAUUUUGCUUUUGAUUUUCUCCCCUUUCAAAACAACCUUCAAGAUCUCAGCCCUCUCUCUUUGAUCAGGUAUCCCAAUUUCAAAGGCCUGAGGAAGCCUCCGGAGGAUUGCUUCAUCGAGUUCUUAAGGUCAGUUGGUUGCAGCAAGUAACAUCUCUUGUGCGUUCUCUUCAAAACAGCCUUCAAGAUCUCAGCCCUCUCUCUUUGAUCAGGUAUCCAAAUUUCAAAGGCCUGAGGAAGCCGCCAGAGGAUUGCUUCAUCGAGUUCUUAAGGUCAGUUGGUUGCAGCAAGUAACAUCUCUUGUGCGUUCUCUUAAGAAUAGUAUCACCAUAAAAUAAAUAAUAAUCAAAAUAAUAAAGAUAAAAUCUAAAAAAUAAAAAAAUAAAAGAUGAAGAAAUUAAAAUAAUAAUAAUUAAUAUUUCAUAAAUUAUUUCAAAUAAAAUAAGUAAUAAUCAAAAGAAUGAAGAUCAAAUUUGAUACAUAAAAAAUUUCAAUAAAAAAAUGAUAAGAGAAAAACAAAUAACAAUUAUAAAAAUAAGGACCAAAGUUAAUAUAAAAAUUAAAUUUUAAGAGAUGAAAUUGAAAAAUAAAUAUUCAAAACAAAAUAUAUAUAGAAAUCAAAAGUUUGAGGACCAAAUUUGAUAUAAUCAGCAAAUAAUAUGACAUUUCUAAAUUUUUCACAAUUUCCGGAAAGUGUUUUCUGCCCAAAUUUUUCAGGAAAACAAUUUCCUGAAAACCAAGUUAAAUUUUCCUUUAACUGUAAAGUAUUUUCCAUUGAUCAACUUUUCUAAUAAUAAACAAACACAAAAAAAUUUAAAAAAUAAUUUUUUAAAAAUAAUUUUUCAGGAAACAAACAUAGCCUUCAUAAAAACACAUUCUAGCAAGUCACUGCAUAAAAAGACUACACAAAUGCAGCACUUGUUUCAAGAGUAAGAACUCACGAUCUGUAGUAAACCCAUCCCAUAAUGCUAUGAACUCAGUCUUCAUAUUGGUUAAUGCCUCAUGAUCUGUAGUACGAUACUGCCAUAUUCAAUAGUGUUUAGAGGAUAGGCUUGAUUGUUACAGAGCAUUUGCAAUUAAGGUUUCAUAAUUGAAAAGUUGGUUUUCGAAUCCUAAUUUCAUCAUAAAACCCAAUUACAAUCGAUUUGAUGUAUUCAAAGUAAUUUAAUGAUAUUUUUUAAUAUUAAUCUCAAAAUUUUAAUAUAUUAAACAACUUUAUUAGUUUGUUUUCCAUUUGUCAGAAAACACAUCAAGAACUUCAACACAUAAAAUACAAUGAGCAACCCCGUUGCAGGCGUCUGAACAAAGUCCACUGGCGUCUCCCACGCGCUAGCAGCCUCCCACGUUCUUAUAUAUGAUGACGCAUACAAUAACAUAUCUAAAAUCGCUAAGAAACUAUACCUUUCUAAUUAGCAUUGCCAAGGUGAUGUGUAGCUGCCACCUCACGUUCAGAGCUAUAGACUAUUGUGGGUUCAGUAUAAUGCAAUAACCUUCCAUUGACGUUGGCAAUAGUGGAGUCCAUAGAGUUGUCACUAACCUCCUUAAUCCAUCUCUGUCAAACUCCCUCUGGCGUUAAGAAACCUAACCUUAUACUUUUUCCUCCUAGAAACAAUUCCUAAUGAUACCUGAGAACCAUCCUGUUUCCCUCAUGUUUAUAUCAGAUAAUGCACUUUAUAUUCCAUCAUCUUGAGAAUGUUAAUUAAAAGGCAAGACGAAGCCCUUACAGAGCCCAAGAAGAAGCAGCAGCAGCUCUUGAUUUGAUGUUACUCGCUAUCAAUCAAUUAGCUGACGCGUCCUUAUCCAUCUGUCUUGUUAAUAGAAACCUCUUGAAAAACCCCAUUAUUUUCCUUCAGUUUCCAGCAAUCCAAACAUCCCUCAUAACCCACUUGUCCCAUUAUCAUCAACAGUUCCUACUACUUCACUAGCUUCUUCUUUGGUGAAUUCCAUAAAGACCCACUCCCCAUCAGUAUCCCUCAGAGUACUUGAUUACUAUGGCUUUGCCAAUAUUUAUGACGUGGAAAGGAUCGGAAUUUGAGUUUGUAAAAAUUCAAGGUAUCCUCACAGUACUUGAACUGUCGAGUAAUAGUUUCACCGGUGAGAUUCCAAAAUUGAUUGGAAAGCUUAAAGGACUCCAACAACUUAACCUCUCUCACAAUUACCUUACUUGUCAUAUCCAAUCAUCAUUAGGAAUUUUGAUCAGUCUAGAAUCAUUAGAUCUAUCUUUCAAUUUGUUCACUGGAAGGAUUCCUAUACAGUUGGUAGAUCUAACAUUUCUUCAAGUCUUAGACCUUUCACAUAACCAGCUUGAAGGACCCAUACCCAAAAGAAAGCAGUUCAACACGUUUGAUCAUCGCUCAUUCGAAGGAAACUCGGGUUUGUGUGGAUUGUCUGCAUGAGCUGUAUACGUGAGGUGUAAUAUAUUAGACUGAUUCUAGAAUCUGCAAUUAUUCCUAGAAAUCUGGUAGUGAUCGACAAUCUUGUAUAGGAAUAUUUAGUUUAGGAAUAUUUAGUUUUCCUUAGAAGAGGUUGUUUCCUUUCUUGGAAGGUAUAAUUGUAUAUAUAUAUAUGGCCUCCUAACGUUGAGAAGAAUAGAGAAGUAACGAAUUAUUCUCACAAUAAUACUCUGUUUUACAUGGAUUUCCAAUGCCAGACGAAUGUAGCAAUGGCGAGGCACCACCAUUACCGCCAUCAAACUUUAUUGCAGGAGAUGAUUCAACAUUGUUUGAAGAUGGGUUUGGAUGGAAACCUGUGGCAAUUGGGUAUGGAUGUGGGUUUAUGUUUGGAGUCAUAAUGGGAUUUGUUGUGUUUAAAACAAGAAGACCUGCAUGGUUUCUGAAAAUGGUUGAAGAUCAAUGGAGUCUUAAUGCAAGCAGAACAAAGAAGAAUGCUAGUAGAAAUGGUGCAAGAAGAAACUAAACAAUGCAGUCAGUAUCUUCAAAGUUCGUUCUGUAAGUUGUUUCCUUUCUGAUUUUAUAAGUAAUCAUAACUACAGAUAUAUAUUGUUUUUAUUGCAGUAUUAUUUCAAUAAAGGUUGUGCCUUUCAUAGUGUUGAAGAUUGGAGUUGACAUUGGAACAACACUAAAGUGGCAGAUUCAUAGUGUUGAAGAUAACAGUACUAAUAAUUAAAUACUACUAAUAAUGCCUUUCUUUAUUUCUAAUCUCUCCCAAUUAUACUUCGAAUCCUGUAAGGCCAGCCAACAUGGGGUUUUCACAACUGUGCCUCUCUCAAUCUCUCUCUUUCAUUCUGUUUCUCUUCCAUUUCCAUUCAACAAUUUCUUUCUCUUCUUCUUCUCAAAUCACUCCUCCUCCUCCUCUUCUUCUUCUCAUUUGUGUGCUCAUCACCAAUCUCUUUCUCUCCAAUUCAAACAAUCCUCUUUAGGUUUUUUCUAUCAAAUUUUAUUCUCAUUCUUUCUAUUUCUAUCAAAUUCAUUGGAGUGAGAUCCAUUAGAUAAGGAAGCUACAAUGCCCUGAUUUUUAAAGUAAAUAGAGCAUCCAACAAAAUCUUGCUGCUAAUAUUGUUUCCGCAGAUGAAGAAUCACCAGUUCAUACAAAGCUUGCUUGAUAGAUUCCAAUCCUCCAAUUGAUUCAAAUUCCACAUCUAUGUGAUCAGGAUUUCUAACAUCACAUGCUAUGACAUCCUGUUCAAAAAUAAAAAUACCUUAUAAAUGAUGCAUGCAAUAAUGCUUAACACACAUACAAUAACAUAGUUAAAAUUGCUUAGAAACUAUACCAUUCUAAUUAACAUUAGACCCACUCCAAAUACUUAGAAAUUUUACUUUCCAAGAAACAAAAAACUUCAAUAUCAUUGGAGCUAACAUACUUUUGUGCAGGCAGCCCCCCUUCUACAAAGACUGCCUAAAUCUCUGUAAUUCUAUGGUAGCAUCUGCUUAAGAUUAGAAUAAAACUCAUAACCUUGGGGCACCAGAGCAAGAACUCAGAGGGAGUCCAACCAUUCCUUCUAUAUAUUUCAUAUCAAUCUGCCUCCGAAUAUGUUCAGCAUCCAAACCAUCAUUAGUAUCUCUAUGAAUACCUAAAACCUUGCCAAGGUGAUGUGUAGCUGCCACCUCACGUUCAGAGCUAUAGACUAUUGUGGGUUCAGUAUAAUGCAAUAACCUUCCAUUGACGUUGGCAAUAGUGGAGUCCAUAGAGUUGUCACUAACCUCCUUAAUCCAUCUCUGUCAAACUCCCUCUGGCGUUAAGAAACCUAACCUUAUACUUUUUCCUCCUAGAAACAAUUCCUAAUGAUACCUGAGAACCAUCCUGUUUUCCACGCUUAUUUCUUCUCCCUCCUGCCAGAGAGUUGGUUUUUUUUCCAAAUUGCCGUAGAUUUCACUAGAAUUCAGAAAAUUUGUAGAAAAGGUGUCUCGCUCUUACUGCACACCUGACACUUUCUUUCGUGUGAUUAGGAUUAAACUACCCUGCAUCUAACUUUAUCUAUAGCUCAGAGCUGACAACAUGGUUUAAGAUUGUGCAAAAACUCAAGAACUCAUGAGAAUACUACAUAUUAUAUUAAAGAUAAAGGAUAAUAUAGAGUAUUAAAAAGACAUAAAAUAUUUUGAUGUAAGAUUAGGGAUGAAUAGAAUUCCACUUUGUAUAUAUUGAGUUGCGUCUAAUUAAUAAAUAAAGAUUCGCUGAUUUUUUUUUCCAAAAAAUUAGGUCUGAUAUUUUCUUAAAUUUAUAUACUCUUAAACCUAGAGCGAAGCUAGGGAAGCAUUUUGCUAUACUUUCCUAGAUUGACUUCUUUUGAGUUUUUGUGUGCAUAGUUUUUUUUUUUUUUCCCCGAGCCCAUAUAUCAUUGGGCCUUUCAUGUGAGUUGAUUUAACCAUACUAUGAUGGAACCAUCAAUACUAAACUUUAGAAUUUCUAUAUUUUGAUGGAGGUUACAUGACUUACGUAAUAUUUAAUUGUGCAAAGUCAUUAGUGCUGCUCCAUUGCUUGGCGUAAUUAUUACUUUGCCUUGGUUUCCAUCCGUCUAGAAACAACAAUUAAUUAGUGGGACAUUAUUCUGCACAAUUUUAUUUUUACUUUAUUUUUUAUUAUUCAUAUUAUGUUUCUGUUGCAUUUUUAAUACUAAUUAACAAUUAUGUGCAUGCUCAUGAACAAAUUAAUUAGUCUUUCUUUGCUCCUAUUAAAAGGCACAUCGGAGAAGAUCAAACUUAAUUUCAUUAAUUAAGGCUUUAUCUGAAAAUUUGAUUCUCUAACUUCAUAGUCUAUAUAUUGUCUGGAUAGGUCAUUUUAUUUAAUUAAUAUAGAAAGCUCAUCCGAUAAAUGGAUGUCAACUAUUUUCAUAACAAAGUAGGAAAUAACAUGCUUUUUAAAAUUAUUUUUCUCCUUAAAAAACCUAUCCAGACACAAUUGUGUUGGAUAAACGGUUUUAUUUUAUAUGAUUUUUUUUUCUAAAGUUUCUCUAGUUAAUAUUAAAACUUAAAAGAAAAAAAGAAAAGAAAGUAAACACCCGAGGAAUAAACAUUUCGAGCUUUCUUAAUUUGGAGUGAAAAAAAAAAUUCCCCCCCUGUUUUGCAACUAUGAAAUCUUCUAGCCUAAUUAGUAGCGCUGAAUCCUGGAGCUUAAUUUACAACUUGAUGUGUGCCUUUAUUGUCUCCACACUCGCCAUUUUUUAAAUUUAUUUAAAAAAAAACACCAGAGUAGAUAAGUAGAUAUGUUGAAGGAUUGAUAGGGGAUCGAAAAAAGUAUUUUCAAAACAAAAUAUUAUGAAAUUAAACAUGAUUAACACUUAUCAAAUGACUGUUUAAUUAGUUUUAAUAAUAUAAAGAUCAAUGAUUUUUUUGCAUAAUAAGAAAAAUUACCAAUUAACUAACAAUACUGUAGUGUUCCCAUUCGUAGUCUCAAGAGUGAGGAAAUAAUUAAAGACAUUCUUAAUCAUUGUUAAGAAGAUAGAAAGAGGAGAGUUCUUCAAAAUCAUUCUUUCUUAAACAAUUGUAGACAGAAUCAAAUACAGUUCCUUCACAAAUGCAACAAACAUCAGGCAAGAAGAUAAGAUGAAUAGCCAACCAGAUUUAUAUAAUAAUAAUAAUAUUUGGUAGCAGAUACCUAUUGAUAGAGGAACAGGGAUCAAAUGCCAAGAAAGGGUAGUGUUUCAAGAAUAUUGAGUCUGUCUGAUCCAUCUACAUGGCCAUUCAAGGAGAACAGGAAACUGAUUUCCGACAAUGGGAGGUAGUUCAGUUCCCGAAUCCCCUGAACUUUCCUUUCUUUGUUCCCAGGGGAUAAGCACAAAUCAAAUAGCAUUCCCAGUAUUUUUAAGAGCAUUCCCUCCAAGUCCAGAGGUUGGCGUCAUCAGUUUACGGAGAAUGGCUGCUUCUAAGACUCAAAUGUCAUCUGAUCUUGUGCUUCUUGGAAUCUAAUAAAAUAAAACCAAUGCGCUCCCAUUGAUGAAGUGAGUUGUCCAAACUUUUGAAGUGGUGUUACAAGUAACUUGAAGGGAGUGGAAAUCAUUCUGAAUUGCAUUUAACAAUUAAGAACUUCGUUUUCCCGGGAAGUUUCAUUUGUCAAUGAAUCGUUUUUGCAGCUGCCUGAAUUCUGGCCCGGAGUGCCCAACGCAUUACUAUCCUUUAAACUAUAAAAUGCUCCUUUUUUCUUAGAAACAUAUAAAUUGUUUAACCCGUCAAGUAAGCAGCCGCUUGUUCUUGUUCACAAUAACAAGCAUAAUUUAUCAGUGCAUGCAAAGGAAGAUCUUAUUAGUAUUAAGAUUAUAAGCCAACAAGGCAGAGAAGGGUAAAAGUCCCCAAGAACAUACAGUUCCUAUAGACGAGCUGCAAAGGAAUAGCACAGAAUUUAACUUGUUUCCAGGCUCAAUGUCCUUGUAGGUGAUUAAAAGCAAAGUCCAAGUGAAUAUAUUUCUGGAAAGCUGUCAUUUUACGUACUGUUUAUACAAAUUAUAAUCUUUUCACAAAUUCAUUAAUUUGUUUAUAUAUAUCCAUCUUUCCACAAAUUACAGUACUCUUGCAUUUGAGAUUUGGUCCGUCAGCACCGCACCCAGCCAAGAAAUCUGUUUAAUGCUUCUCCCAGUGACAAAAGAUCAAACCAGUUCAUUUUAAUAUAUUUAUAAUAAACAAAUAUUUUAAGAAAAAUACACUGAUCAUACACAUUACCAACCAAGUACACAGGAAAAGUUGAUAGGAACUUUUGGAUAAUUAAAAACGACUUUUGGGUCGUGAAAAACGAUACAUGUGUGCUGCCGUAAUUAUUACUUUGCCUUGGUUUCCAUCCGUCUAGAAAGUAGAAACAACAAUUUAGUGGGACAUUAUUUUGCACAAUUUUACUUUACUUUACUUUUUAUUUUUACUUUAUUAUUCAUAUUAUGUUUCUGUUGCAUUUUUAAUACUAACAAUUAUGUGCAUGCUCAUGAACAAAUUAGUCUUUCUUUGCUCCGAUUAAAAGGUACAUCGGAGAAGAUCUAACUUAAUUUCAUUAAUUAAGGCUUUAUCUGAAAUUUUUGAUUCUCUAACUUCAUUAAAUUUUGAACACAGAGGUUAGCAAAUAAGCAGAAAGAAAAAGGAUAAUUCAAUGCGUGUCUGCUAUAGCAAUCUUUAACUUCCUAACAGCUUUCAGAGGAGCACGCUGUCGGAUGCAGUUCUAAACCACAAGUCCAAACAAACAGAAAGAAAAAGGAUAACAGUGUCAACUUAGCCAUAACAAUGUCAAACAAAGAAUACUGAAAACUAAAUCAGCUACUCUACUUAGUGGAGAAUGGUGAGGUCAAAGGCAGUACAGUGAUGCCAUUAAAAUGCCAUAACCACUUAUUCCAGUAAAAAGAACCUAUGGAUAAUUUACUUUCAUAAGAGAUCAUAAUUUAUAAGAUCCUAUGUUGAUUCUCUAACUUCAUAGUCUAUAUAUAUCCAUGUUUUCCAUAAAUUAAUUAAUAUUGCCGCGUUUCCAACACUCACUCACUCUUGUAUUUGGAAUUUGGUACUGAAAGAUUGUUAGCGUCUGCAUCUUUUGGAAAAGAUUUAUCAAUAAAUGGAUGUAUCUAACCUAUGAUUGCUUCCAGAGGCAAAAAUAGUCUUGAUAUUCUGUUUAUUUUUGUAUUUUAAAAAUAUUUUAAAAAAAAAUAUUUUUUUUGUUUUUUUUUAUUUCAAAUUAAUAUUUUGUGUUUUCAGAUCAUUUUUAUGUGCUGAUAUCAAAAAUAAUUUUUUUAAAAUAAAAAAAUAUUAUUUUAUUACAUUUCCGAAUAAAACACAUUUUAAAAAAUAACUCCAACCACAAUUCCAAAAACACUUUUACACAAAGAAGUAGCCAACCAGCAAACGCCAACUAAUUAGGAAAGCCAAAUAGAUCAUUGUAUUUGUUGAUCAUGUUCUAUCAGGCAAAGGCCCGAAAAUGGACACCCCAUCAAGGUUUUCCACAACAUAAGGCUUUUAAGUUUAGAAAAUAAAAAAAUUGAAAAGAAAGUAAAAUUUCUUCUUUUAUGAAAUGCCUCUAGAAACAUAGAACAAAUCUCGAAAUCAUAGAGGCAAAUCAGAUAUAUAAACGUGUCGAUACACGACGUCGGGCGGCGGCUCCCGCUUUUUUUGUUUAUUUAACAAAAAGGGUUUUUUUCUUUGAUUAGGGGGAAACAAAGAUUUUAUUGGAGUCGCCAUCUAGUAAUUUGAGGGAACUAGAAAUCCCAAAUUAGACACUGGUCCCAGAGAUUUGGAUACGGGGUUAGUUAUGAUUAAGGGAAGGUAGACACCACCCUUAAAACUUCCUUUCAAAAGAAAGGUUACCCUUACUUGUGUGUUUUUAUUUGAUUCAAAUGCGAUUAUAUUUUGGGCUUAUUUGUAAAAAUUUUUAAUGAUUAACGUCGGUCCCUAAAAAUAGGAGACACGUUAAAAAUGACAUCAGUCCCUAAAAAUUAGGAGACUCGUCUGAGUUACCAAAAGAAAUAAUGGAUAUAAUCCAUUAUAUUUUGGGUUUAUUGGUAAUUUGUUUUUUUUAAAAUGGUUAACGUCGGUCCCUAAAAAUAGGAGGCACGUUAAAAAUGACAUCAGUCCCUAAAAAUUAGAAGACUUGUCUAAAAUAUGACGUUUUAACCCUAAAAAGAAGAGUUACGUCUGGGUUACCAAAAGAAAUAAUGGACAUAAUCCAUAUUUGGUAUUUACAUUUUUGACAUCGGUCCUUUUAAAAAAAGAGACGUGUCGACUUUGGUUUUUGUAUUUUUUUACAACAUGCAAGAAAAUUUACAAGCAUUUAUAUAUGAAAACAAAUAUCAAAAAUACCAGCAAAACGAUGGUAGGAGUAAAUUCCUUAUAAAUCACGCAGUAUUUGGCAAAAGACAUCAUCAACUUCUUGCAUUUUCAAUACUCUCAAAGUUCUCAACUUUUGAAGCUUUAACCAUGUCUUCCUCUUCUUCCAAUGCUAACCCAAACCCUGUUCCUGCAGUAGAGCCUGCAGUUUGGCGUACUACCUUUGAAGUGAAUGGUCGUCCAGUUACAAUAGAGGAUACUGUAAUGGACAAUGAAGAUAUUGUUGUAGCUGUGGCUAGAGACAUGAUCCUUCCUCGUGAUGAAAUAAUGUUGGCAGCCAGGACCGAUAUUGAAGCAGUGAAUCAGUCACUUGCUCUCAGUAUCAGAGCUACCUCGUCUUUGGUGAACGUUGAAGAGCGUCUUCAUGCUAGAAGACUUGAGUUGAAUACUCAGGUUCUUGAUCUCCAUCAUCAGAUUGAGAAUUUAAAGAAUAGACUCCAUGAUGAGAGACGUCACAGAAACAACUUGGAGAGGAGAAAUCAAGAGCUGAAUACACGUGUGGACUUUUGGCGGGACUAUGUUAACACACGACACCUCGAGUUCGAGGAAGAGAUGGAGCGUAUGCAUAAGCAAUUUGAGGAAUUCCGAGGCAUGAUUAAUCAUCAAGAUGAAAAUAUCCCUGAUCGUCCUCGCACUGUUUAACAUUUGUAUUUGUAAACCCCUUUUUCCAUGAAUAAAAAUCUAUCUUUCUUGUCUUCAUUUAUGAAUUUGGCUUUUGUGGAAUUGCCAUAUUUGAUGUGAUUUACAAGAACUUCAAUUCAUGUGAGUCUCGUUGGAUCCUAGAGGGAAUUUUGUUUCUUGAAAUAUCUGCAAAACAAAUAUGCAAUGCCCGUGAAGUUAGAUGAUAUGCAAUGCAUCUUACCUGUUUUUGAAAUAUAGGUUCCCCCCUCUUUGAUGUUUCAUCGUCAUAGGGUGGCUUUGUUUGCAUUCCAAAGCCUUCUUUGUUCUUUCGAUGCAUUGGCUCAUUCAUGUGCUAGCCAUCCGCUCAGCUGUAAAUGCAAUGCCCAUCUUGGGCUGUCCGCGAUAAUUACUGCUCUCACUGUUUAUCAAGCUUGACAAUGCCUCCAGGUGUAAUGUUGCUUGAUUUAUCAUUAAGAAGUUUAACAAAUCAUUCAUCUCUUGGAUUCUUUCAAGAAUUGUUCUUUGAUUGAUUGUGCGCAUCGUGCCAACACCUAUCAAGAUUGUCAAUCAGUUAUGAACUCACCUCCAGUUGAAACAUACCCUUCAAGUAUAUGCGGUCAUCCACUUUAAUGGAACUGUCAUGUCAUUCAGACCUGCAUUUCAUACUUUGCAGUAAAAAGCUCAUCGUUGUAUGCUCAGUUUCUUUCUCAAUAAGUUCUUCUCAACUCAUCUAACCAGAUUGUGAAAAGAAGUGUCUCGGCCUCAUCAAUGAUGUUGCUUUUAUCACCCAUACUCAUGUGGUGCAGUGCGCAUUUGAGCUUCAAAUCAGAUGGUCCCACGGUCAGUCUAGGCGGGUGCGGUGCAUCCUCCCAACAUUCAUUCAAAGCAAUCUUGUGAUAACAUCUUUCAAUAGUCAUAGCUAUAUUGGAGAUGAUAAACCAAGAUGAAGAUAUGAAGAUGUCCUUCAGGUACAUCUUUGCUCUCAAUUGUUGUCGGGGUUUACUGGAUCAUAAACUGUUCUUGAACAUCAUUGCCCUUAAUUGAUUUGAAUGUGCUCAUUCACUGAUUAUCUUUCUUUGAACCAUAUUGUCCUCAGUUUAUUGAUUCAUCAUUUGAUCAUCUCUAUCCCCCAGCUGAUUUAAACACUGUUUGUUUUCCUUCUCAGAGGUCCAUUGUAUUGCCCCCAGGAGUGUCGAGGAGAAUUGAUGUCAUUUCUGUCAGGAAUUUGCAAACUUGGUCGAUGUUUUUCUUGUUUGAAAAUCUUUCUUAUUUUGGAAUCAAAUCUCACAUUUCAAAGGUCAUGUCUAUUCAAGUCUGAUUGUUGAAAUGAAAUCAGAGAGAUGUCAAUUUUUGAAAGUAUUUUUGGAAAUCAAGCUUUAUUGGUCAAAGAUCCAACACACGCUAUUCAAUAUAGUCUUUUGAUUGUCUUGUAUUUUGAGAGAAAAGAAAUUGACUCGUUGUAAGAUUAAAAUGGUUUUUCCAUGGUUCUUUGUAUCCAUUUUAAACUCUAAUUUUGGGUAUAUCUUUUGAUUGUCUGUAAUGAGGUGACCUUUUAUGAAUUUGUGGAAAAACAAGGUACCCGAGUCAAAACUUGAGGCUUUAUCAAGAAAGAUUGUUUCUUUUUCUUAGCAACAAUUUUAUCAGCAUGCAUAAUAAUCAGUAGCUUGAUUCAUGAAGUCACGACCUGUAUGAACAACUCUUCAAUUUUUGAGAUCGCCAUUUAUCGGUUCAGAUUGCUUACUUGAUUAAAAAGGACUUUCUAAAGCACGUAAUGUAAGCUAUGGUUCAUGGCUAUGAAAGAAAGGAAUUUCACAAGCUCAAAAGGUGUUUGAGGGUUUCAAGAACCUAGGAUCACCAUCAAUUACUCAUCAAUCUCUUUUCCUCACGUUGUCUUUGUAGAGACAGUGACAUAUAACCUUGUUAAUCUUAAAAAUCAAAAUUUGUUUAACAUAGGUCAUAACGCAAAUCCAACUUUUCUUUGAUGAAUAGCCAAUCUAAUCUUUUGAAGAUCAUAAAGGCUUUAUCAUAGACACACCAAAAGACAUCACACUUGAUUUUUCGGGUUAACUUUUGGCAUUUGUUGUGUCUUUAUCAAUCUUUGGCUUUCUUCUUCUAGCCCUUUCUCAAUCAUUGGACUUUUGUUCUAAGCCUUCCCUUUAUCCAUCGACUCUAACAUUGUCUUUGUCUUUUCUAGGAAAAGAUUCUCAUUGCCCCCAGUGUGGGGUGUGAUCCUAGUCAGGGUUUUUUAUGAAAGAAAUAUUCUAUCAGCUCAAAAUGGGACUGCAAGGGAUAUAUAUUUCAAGAAUUGUGAAAGGAUGAAACAAAAAUGGCCUUUUCUCAUUUCAAGCAAGGUCGGUUAGAACCGAUAAAUUUUGACCUCAUCCAAUGUAAUGAUUUAGACUUGUACGAAUCAUAAUUCAUGAGUCCAUAACUAAUGAAUCCACUACGUGUCAUUAUGCAUACUGCUAAAACGUAGCUACAUGGUGUGUGGUUCAAUUUCAUGUGUGAGCUCAAAAGUUUCUUGGUCACCUCAUGUCAUUUCAGUAAGCAUUGAGUCAUUCAAGCAACAUAAUUUUGAUCUUCAGGAUUGACUAAUCUUAAACGCAUGUUGGAGCUUGAUCAAAAUAUUUUGUCAAAAUAACCUUUGAAAGAAACAUCUCAUGCUUUCAAAACAACAAAGGGACAAAGAAAAGACACAUUUCGUUAAAAGAUGAGAUGUGAUCCCAAAAUAUAAUGCAGAAUGACAAAACUCAUAACAAAAAGGAUCGACAGUUUAACACUCUUCUUGGAUCAGCUUUUCUGGCAAUAUCUGUGUUUUGCCAAGCAUUUCGAUCACUUGUCAAUCUGAGGAUGUUGAGGUGACAAUAUGGUCGAUGACGUCAUUUUGCACAAACUCAACUUGAUUCUUGAAAUUCUUGCAACCGUUCAACUGAAUGGCACAAAAUCCCCCAAUGAUGUUCAAAUAUCUUUUACUAAGGGAUGAGGGCUCAAAGGCGCACUCAAAAGGAGUUGAGGGCUCAAAGGCGCACUCAGAAUGGAGGUAGGGUUAGAAAACGCACUACCUAAGGGAUGAGGGCUCAAAGGCAUACUCAAAAUGGAGGUGAGGGCUCAAAAGCGCACUUAAAAGGAGUUGAGGGCUCAAAGGCGCACUUAAAAGGAGGUAGGGUUAGAAAACGCACUACCUAAGGGAUGAGGGCUCAAAGGCGCAUUCAAUAUGGAGGUGAGGGCUCAAAGGCGCACUCAAAAGGAGGUAGGGUUAGAAAACGCACUACCAAAGGGAUGAGGGCUCAAAGGCGCACCCAAAAUGGAGGUGAGGGCUCAAAGGCGCACUCAAAAGGAGGUAGAGUUAGAAAACGCACUACCAAAGGGAUGAGGGCUCAAAGGCGCACCCAAAAUGGAGGUGAGGGCUCAAAGGCGCACUCAAAAGGAGGUAGGGUUAGAAAACGCACUACCAAAGGGAUGAGGGCUCAAAGGCGCACCCAAAAUGGAGGUGAGGGCUCAAAGGCGCACUCAAAAGGAGGUAGGGUUAGAAAACGCACUACCAAAGGGAUGAGGGCUCAAAGGCGCACCCAAAAUGGAGGUGAGGGCUCAAAGGCGCACUCAAAAGGAGGUAGGGUUAGAAAACGCACUACCAAAGGGAUGAGGGCUCAAAGGCGCACUCAGAAUGAGGUAAAUUGGCGGAGUCAGGGCAAUAAGUCCAGAGUCUAACAGAUGCUGGUAGACAAACUCGAGUGGUUGAGGUAUGUCAAUCGUGGCAAAGACAUUUGAGCAAUUGAUGCUACAGUGAGAUCUGGUUGGACCACAUAAUUAAGGCUUCCCAUCGUCAGAGUCAUCCUUUGAUUCAUCUCUCAUUAUUGUUCUAGAAUUAUUGGUAGAAUCUUCAAUCAUUCCCCUCUUCAUAGCUUGUUCAAAUCUUUCGACAAUCCUCACAACAUCAUAUCAAUCUUUCCAAUGUUGUUGUGGUUAAUUGUGGAUUGGUAGAAACUUUCCAACAGCCAGGCAAUCUUGGUAGCGCAUAGAAACAUGCAGCACCACCACUGCCGACGUGUGGAAUCAUGCGUUGUCUCAACUGGAAGAGAAACUGAUGAAUAUGAAAACCCUUUUGUCUCCUCUUUGAUUCCUCACUGGCAGUGCAACAAACAAACACCUAUAGUGGGAAUUCUGCUUUGUUAAAGUUGCAAUGUCUGCUCUUGUUUUUUCUCAGAGCAGCAUCCGAUACUACUGGACCGGAAUGGUGUUCACAAUAGAGAUGUCUGAAAAGAAGGCCAAUGCACCAGGAACAGAAAGCUAGCAGCUAUUAUGUGCUCUUGGAAUAUGUGAAGGCUUUGAACGACUAUCAGUGCAGUUGAAUGAGAACAAGGGUUGUCGUCAUUAAUUGUGACUGAAGGCAUUGUUGUCAUUGUUCAUGAUGAAAAAGGAGAGGUGCAACUUCAAUGGAACGUGGACAAGUAGUGUUCCACGCAAGAGACUGUGCAGACGUUCCCUUUCCAUUCUUGAAGCUCAACACUUAUUCAAAUAAAUUUAUGAGUCGAGUAGACCUCAGCAGGUGGGGGAACUUAUGUUUCAACCCUUCAAGUAAAUGCAAAAAUGGAUGCAAAAUGUCAUAUGUUUUAUGCAUGCUUGUUAUUUGUUUCAAGUUUUCCUUUAGCUUAUGACGAGGAACAGACCAGAUCAGAUUCUCUUAAGAAAGUUCUCACUGAGGACUCCAAACUACAGGAACUUGAACCGAUUUAGGGGAGAAAUUUGAUGCCAUAAAUCAGAAUCAAAAUAAACAUUUCUCAUGAGACUCAAAUUAUGAUGGCAAACAAAUCCCUUCAUCAUGUUGGCUCAAUUCUGAUCUGGUCAAAAAAUUCUCAAUAGUAAUGGGUUUUUCCAUCUCACACUUCCUAUAAGGAUCGGUGGAGACUUAAUGAGCAUAUGAAAUGUAUAUGAACAUGUAUGUUCAUGCAUUGACAUUUGUUCGUGUCCUAAUGGGUAUAUCCUACUUGAUAGGAUCUAGCUCAUAAGGUUUGGCUCAGUUUAGUCUAUCCUUAAAGAUAUUUUUUGGUUCUUAGAUUGCCCGAAUUACUCGUGAAGUAAUCGGCCUCUUAACCUUAUACAACAUGAGUAGGGGAGAAAAACUCCACAAUACUAGUUGCAUAGGGUGAGUUACAAUCCAAGCGAAAGUCCAAAUGAGCAUCAGUGGACAUAAGUCACACUUGCCACUUGAAUCUCUCUUUUCUAACCUUAAACAGGACGAGCUCGGGUCCAGAGCUUUUAUGGGUUCACCGUGAAGUGUGUGAAUACACAAAUAAAUAACAUGUAUGCAUGUGACGAUAUGAAAAAUUGAAAAGAAUCACAGUAGAUAUUGCAUAAAAUAAAUAAUGCAAAUAAAAUAAAUGCCCAAAAAUAAAUAGCAAUAAGAAAGAGCAAAUGAAAAGCAAACACAAGCAGUUGGCUCAACCCUAAAGUCCCCAGUGGAGUCGCCAUUCUGUCGAUACACGACGUCGGGCGGCGGCUCCCGCUUUUUUUGUUUAUUUAACAAAAAGGGUUUUUUUCUUUGAUUAGGGGGAAACAAAGAUUUUAUUGGAGUCGCCAUCUAGUAAUUUGAGGGAACUAGAAAUCUCAAAUUAGACACUGGUCCUAGAGAUUUGGAUACGGGGUUAGUUAUGAUUAAGGGAAGGUAGACACCACCCUUAAAACUUCCUUUCAAAAGAAAGGUUACCCUUACUUGUGUGUUUUUAUUUGAUUCAAAUGCGAUUAUAUUUUGGGCUUAUUUGUAAAUUUUUUUAAUGAUUAACGUCGGUCCCUAAAAAUAGGAGACACGUUAAAAAUGACAUCAGUCCCUAAAAAUUAGGAGACUCGUCUGAGUUACCAAAAGAAAUAAUGGAUAUAAUCCAUUAUAUUUUGGGUUUAUUGGUAAUUUGUUUUUUUUUAAAUGGUUAACGUCGGUCCCUAAAAAUAGGAGGCACGUUAAAAAUGACAUCAGUCCCUAAAAAUUAGAAGACUUGUCUAAAAUAUGACGUUUUAACCCUAAAAAGAAGAGUUACGUCUGGGUUACCAAAAGAAAUAAUGGACAUAAUCCAUAUUUGGUAUUUACAUUUUUGACAUCGGUCCUUUUAAAAAAAGAGACGUGUCGACUUUGGUUUUUGUAUUUUUUUACAACAUGCAAGAAAAUUUACAAGCAUUUAUAUAUGAAAACAAAUAUCAAAAAUACCAGUAGAAAACCCAAAAAAUUACUUGAGUGUCACUGUAUAGGUAAAAUGCUGAAAUACCCUCGAAUUUCUCUGAAAAUUACGAAAAUGCCACUGGCGGCGCGUGUGGCACACGCGCGGCUACUGUUGGCGGCGGGGAGAUUUUCCGGCGCGCUUUCUGGCCAACCGAUGGUCGAUCCUGGUAGAUCUGAUGUCAAGGAUUCUUAUGGUGGUGGUCUUGACGGUCGUUGAUGGCUGAUGAGCGAGAAUCGACGACUUGAAGCUUCGGUGGCAGCCGACGAUCGCGGCCCUUUUCCGGCUAAAUGGGGCGGCGAAAAAGCUGAAACCAGCCGGGGUUUCGCUUUAUAUGAGGAUAGCGACCUUUAUGUGGUGGUUUGGAAGCGUGAUAUAGCCGGAGAUGGGAGAUCGGAAGAGAGAGAGGGAGUCGCCGGCGAGAGGAGAGAGAUGCUCUGGGUUACGCUACGGUGAGAACGCUAGAACGGUACACCGGUGCAGCUGAGGGCUGUGAUCCGUUGGAUCUCUGAUGGAAAGAUCAUGCGGCUGUGAUUGGCCCGAUCUGCAGGUUGAUCGGACGGUCCGGAUGAACGGAGGUUUGAUCGGGUGUGACGUGGUACACCGUGAGCUUGGUACACGGGGUGACGUGGCGCCACUGGAUCUAAGGGAAAAUUGUUUUAAGGGCUGAGAUUGAUUUGGGUUUUAAUUGGGUGUGGUAAGCCCUAUUGUAUCCUAUUAAAUCAACGGUUCAGAUCUAAACACUAUUAGAUCUAAUGGUUAGGAUAUAUUUUGUAUUUUCCAUAUUGUUUUUAAUAAAAAUCAAUAUCUUACCCGAAUGAAGAAAUAGUAAAAAAACGUGAGUAGUGUUUGCAAUUCUUUUCUUUCUUUUUUUUUCCUUCUUCCCCCUCCCCUCCUGGCGAACUAUCACUGGCUAUUUAUAGACAGGGGACAUGCAAAUCUUAAAUUUCCACAAAUCUUAUUUUUAAAUCACCGUUUGCUUUCGGCGCAACUGCCCGUUUGACAAAAUUUUUUAUUUUAUUUUUUAUUAUGUAUAAUAAUAUAUAUUUAUAUAGGUAAAAUUAAAAACUCAAUUCAGUGUUAGAAAAACCUCGUUUCAACCGCUAAAAAUUAAUUUUAAUGACCGAAAAUAAUAGUUUUGACCUAAAAUGACCUGAAACUCAUUUUUUACCCCGGUCGACAUGGUUGGACCCGUAUUGACUCGGUGGACUCGGUUUUGACCCGAAAACGGCCUGAAACUCAUUUUUUACCCUGGUCGACAUGGUUUGACCCGUAUUGACUCGGUGGACUCGGUUUUGACCGAAAAUGACGGUUUUGACCCGAAACGGCUUGAAACUCAUUUUUUACCCUGGUCGACAUGUUUUGACCCGUAUUGACUCGGUGGACUCGGUUUUGACCGAAAAUGACGGUUUUGACCCGAAACGGCUUGAAACUCAUUUUUUACCCUGGUCGACAUGUUUUGACCCGUAUUGACUCGGUGGAAUCGGUUCUUAUGGAAAGAUGCGGUUGACUCGAGAAAAAUAUAUUUUUGAAUUUUCCUUUUUCUUAAUUUUUUUGGAUUUUUAUAAAUAAUAAUAGAAAUAAAAUAACAUUUGAGAAAAUAAUAAUAGAAAUAAAAUAAUAGGCAAUAUCUUUACCAUAUUAACAUCAAGCUGUUUUAUAGAGGAAGCAGGUGCGACGUUAGAAUCAAUUACAAGACAGGAGUAUAAAUAAAUCCAUGUAUAACAAAACCUAAAUCAAUUAUUUUCACCAUUCUUUAUAAUUUGAUGAAAUGAACUCUACUCCUCAUAUCACAAUGUUUUGCAUCCUCAGAGAUCAUCCUCAGAUUGAACUUUCACUAAAUAUUUUCUUUAAUUUGCAAGCUGAAAUUCCUUCAAGUCUAACUUGUAAAAUAAUAGUUUGAGCGGUUCUACACCACCAUGCAUGUUUAGGAAACUUCAGCGACAGACUCUUAGUUUUGCAUUUUAGAAUGAACAAUCGCAUGAAAAACAAUUCCAGGCAAAAUUCUCCAUAGUAAUAAAAAUGAGAAAGAUAAAAUUGAUGUCUGAAAAGGAAUAAUUCCCCUUUCAAUGUUUAAUGCAUCAAUCAUGCUCCCUUGAUUCCAUUUAGGACUCAACAGUUAGGAAAUCAAAUAGUACUGUCGUGUUCUUAUACUUAGUCUCGUCAAUGAAGACUUUUGGUUCAUGUUAUUAGCUACAUGGAGAGUUUAGGGUUCUAUUCCAUGUCGUCUCUCCUCUCUCGUUUUCUCAUCUCUUGGCCAGUCGCAACCUACCACGAUGUUUUUUUGUAACUUGGCUGUUUGGCUACUUUCUGUUCUUGCCUGCCACGAUGAGAAAAGUAAAAUGGUUAUGACAUUUAAUCUCUAUAAUUUUAAUUGUAUUUGUGACUUAAUUAUAUAUUCUCGAUCAUUUGAUUAAUUAAUCAACACUUGUCAAAUGACUAUAUAUAUAAUUAUUAUUUAUAUGAUUAAUUAAUUUUCUUCAUGAUAAGAAACACCAAUUAACUAUGAUGCAAAUCAAUACUGUGGUGUUCCCAUUCCUAGUCUCGUCAAUGAAGACUUUUGGAUCAUGAAAAUAUAGAUAUAAUAGGCAAAGUCAUUAGUGCUGCAUUAUUUUAUAUUUAUAUAUAUAUAUAUAUAUAUAUAUAUAUAUAUAUAUAUAUAAAUUUGUGGUCUUGCUGAAUUUUGAGUCAAGAAAGCUAAUAGUGGGUUUAGGAGUAUAGUUGUGAUUGUUUUUUAAAGUGUUUUUUACUAAAAAAAUGUAUUAAAAUAAUAUUUUUUAUUUUUUAAAAAUUAAUUUUAACAUUAGUUCAUCAAAAUAAUUUAAAAAUACCAAAAAAUAUUAAUUUGAAGUAAAGAAAAAAAUAAAAAAAAUUAAUUUUUUCAAAAACAUUUUUAAAAUACAAAAACAAAUAGUUGUACAAACUACUUUAUUUUUUAUUCAUUAUCCCUCACUCAAUUUCUCAUUUCCAUUUUGUUUCCCUUGCACUUCAAUACAUUAAUUUAAUCAUCGGUCCUUCUCGGCUCCAAUUCAAACGUCGAGGAAAAGGCUGUUUUCUUUAAAUAUUCUUUUGACCAAAUUACAGCCGGUCAUUAUACGAAAACUAAAGUUCAAUUAUUGGAGCUUUUUUGUUUUUUGACACAUUAAAAUAAAGGGUAAAGUAACACGGCUAAAAAAAUAAUUAAAAAACUAGAAUAUUUUCACAAAUUACAGAUGCUAUUUGGGACUUAUUUUGAAUAAAACAUGAGGUAUUAUUCAUUAUGUUUUUGUUGCAUUUUUAAUACUAACUACUAACAAUUUCAACUCUCAAUUAUGUGCUCAUGAAAAAAUUAGUCCUUCAUUGCUCGGACUCAAAAGUUGAGGAAAAGGCACAUUCAGGUGUUUAUGAAAUUCUAUUAAUAAUAAUGGUUCAAAGUGAUUUUUAUUUAAAAAUAUAUUAAAAUAAAAUUAUUUUAUUUUAGAAAAAUUAUUUUAAAUAUCACACGCUAAAACGAUUUAAAAACAUUAAAAAAAUUAUUUUAAGCAAAAAUAAAAUUUUAAAAAAUAUAGUUUGCACCGCAUUUUCAAACACACCCGAAAAAAAAUUCAAUCGGUAGCUACACCUUGGAGAAGAUGUAACUUAAUUUCAUUAAUUAAGGUUUUAUCUGAAGAAUUGAUUCUAUAACUUCAUUUUCUUUAUAUAUAUAUAAUUUCCAUUAAUUAAUUAAUAUUGCCGCGUUUCCAACACUGACUCACCCUAGCUUGUUUUAGUCAACGAAGGGACCUAGCUACUUGAUGAGUUGAUGGUCUUGUAUUUGAAAUUUGGUCGGUCAGCCAGCUAAGGAAACUUGUUUAAUGCUUCUCCCAGUGAUAAAGAUCAAACAUAUACUAACAAUACUAGUAGACAAUAUCAAAACAAUAUACUCCUAAUUCUCACAUCACAAAAUUAAUGUCUUCUCUCAUAAAAAAAACAAAAUUCAUCAAAUUGAUAUAAAUUUAACGCAUACUAGUUUCGAUCACCAAAAAAAUCCAUAACUUAAAUUUGUGUUGAGGAAAUACCUUGAUGACGGUAAAUAUGUAAUUUUUUACAUGAUGAUUUUCAAAUAUAUUUUUAUGAUAUUUUUUAUUUUAUGUGCUCAAAAUUUUCUAUUUUUUACAUAAAAAUUAUUUUUUAUAAGUUUUUUUUUUAAAAAAAAAAGAUAAAAAAAUUAUCUAAAAAGAAUAAUGAUUUUGAAAAGAUAAAAAAAAUCCACCAUAAAUAAUAAUAAAAUAAUCUUUUUGAAAAUAAAGUAGAAAUAACUUUCCAAAGUAAAUAAAAGAAACCAAUAUUUUAAAAAUAAAACAACAAGUUAGUUUUAGUGAAAAUAAAAAAAUAGAAAAAAUAUAUUUAAUAUCAUGUAGUUAGGUCAUUUUUUUCACUUACCCGCUAUACUUUAAAAAAUUACUAUUUACAUUUUGGAUCAACACAAAUUUUCAAAUAUAAUGAAAAGACUAAAUGACCUUUAUACAUUAAAUAAGAAAACUAACUUAAAUUAAUUGUUCUUGUUUUUCUUGAAACCUUAAAAAAAACUCAAAUCUAUUGAUUUUGCUUCAUAAUAUAUUCUCCAUCUUAACCCCCAUUUAAUUUUGCCACCAGAAUAGAGGUUUGCUAAAACUUAAUUUUUAUUUUUAUUUUGACAUGCUUAUAUUAAAAAUAAAUCUUAGAAAUAUAUUAUUUAAUAUAUUUAAAAAAAAGAAGCUAAAACACUACAACAUUUAACAGUUUUACCGACAGAAUUUUUCCAUCGACGUAAGAUACAUAUUUCAUCGGUAAUUAAUUUACCAACGAAAUCACCGACGAAAAUGCUCUGUCGGUGAAUCUUUCAUCGGUAAUUAAUUUACCAACGAAAUCACCGACGAAAAUGCUCUAUCGGUGAAUCUUUCAUCGGUAAUUAAUUUUCCGUCGGUAAAAAAAAAUAUUAUUACCGACGGAACAGACGCGUCAAUAAUAAUAAUUUUUUUAUUACCAACGGAUUUACCGAUGGAUAUACCGAUGGAAUUUCCAUUGGUAAUUCCAUCGGUAAUUAUUUAAAAACAUUUUUUAAAAAAAUUCAUUUUAUAAAAUUAUAAAAUAAUAAAAUUAACAUAAAUCAACACUCUAUAAUAUACUCAAAAUGCUUGGAAAAAAGAAUAAGAAAAUCAACUCAAAACAAUUUGCAACAAAUAAAUAAAAUGAAAAAAUAAAUUCAACUAAAAAAUUCAUAUGAAAAAAAUAAAGUUGCAAUUGCUAAAAAUUUAAAAAUCCUAUAAAUAAAUCAACAAAAAAUUGAUCUCAUAUGGAAAAAAAAAUCUCACAACAACAUUUAUACAAUUAUUAAGAACAAAAACAAUUAAAAAUAAAAUAAAAAAAUAAAUAUAGUGAAAAAAAUCAUGAAAAAGAAGAAAAAAGAAAAAUCUUACCUUAAUGUAGUUGCAAGUGAAGCCAAGGAGAGAAAAAAAUUUCGUAAAGCAUAUUAAUUAAAAAAAACUAAGAGGAUAAAAGAAGAAAGAAGAAGAAGACAUACCCGAGCAUGGAGGAAAAGAGAAGUAGAUGAGGAGAGAAAAGAAGAGAAAGAAAUAGAUAUUGAUGUUUUUUACAUAUAGUGAAGAAGAAGAAGAAGAAAUGAGUCUGUCUCUUGUGAAAUAAGGGGAUUCAGGCUUUUUAUUGGGGCGCGUUAGCGACGGAUUUACCGACGGAUAAUUGAAUAUUAAUAUUUUUUAAUUAUGUCGUCGGUAAUUCCAUCAGUAAUAUUUAAUUUAAAUUUUUAAUUUCGUAAAAAGUUUUCAGAAACCGCCAACAAUUACCGAUGAUUUUUCAAUCCGUCGGUGAUUCCGUUUGUAAAAUUUAAAUGAAAAAUUUAAAUUAAUUGAUUUUUUUUCAGAAAACCGCCAAAUAACACCGAUGACUUUGCAAUCCGCUGGUGAUUUUGUCCGUAAAGAACAACAAUUAACAUUGCAAUUGAAAAGUGAACAGUUCUAGAGCUCUCUGGAAAAUACUGACGAACAAUUCCGUCGGUGAUUCCCUUUAUAACUGACAUGAUGAACAGUGUUCACAGUUUACCAACGAAUUUACCGACGGAUUUUAUAGACGAAAUAAAUUCCGUCGAUAAAAAUGACACGUCAUCAUUUUUUUUUGCUUUGUUUUAAUUUUUUUUCCCACUGUAAUUUUCUCGGUAUAUACCGAUGGAAUUUUUCCGUCGGUAAAAUUCCUCUGAAAUUUACCGACGGAAAUAUUCCCUCAGUAUUUCUGUUUGUAUUUAUUAAUUUUCUGGGAGUGAAAGAGCAUGAAACACCCCCUUAUUCUUCAAAUACUACUGAUGUUAAUAUCUUCUCUACGAAUCAACACAUCGAUGAUCAUAAUGCUAAUGGUGAUGUGAUGAUUUAGUAGUAGAAGUUGAAGGAACAAACGACCUUUAUUUAUCCUUACUAAUUAACUAUAAACCAAAAGUAGAGUGAGUUUUACUGCAACAAUCUUAGCAAAUUUAUUCGAUCAAGCGGCCCUCCAACAAUCUUAGCAAAUUUUCAAGCUUUGAGAGAAAAGCAGAUGGAGAAAAAACCCCUAGAUUUUGGGAAAAUUACGGGGUUAGGAUGGAUUUGAAUUAAAAAAAAAAUAGAGGUGAAUUGAAAAGAAAGGCAGAGACGGAGAGAAAAAGAAGGUGAUUUACAUGAAAGAUAUCCAAACUUUUUAUUAUUGUAUGCAUUAGUAUGGUUAAGACGUCGACGUGUCCAUGUUUUCCAUAAAUUUAUUAAUAUUGCCGCGUUUCCAACACUCACUCACUCACUCUUGUACUUGAGAUUUGAUUUCGUCUUUACAUGUUUUACACAUCUGUCUGUAUACAAUCUAAGAUUAGUUUGUCUAUAAAUACUUCUAACAUUGUCUUUCUUCACCCCUCAUCUCUCCCAAAUAUACUACUAAAUCCUGUAAGGCCAGCCAAACAUGGGGUUUUCACCACUGUCCCUCUCUCAAUCUCUCUCUUUCAUUAUGUUUCUCUUCCAUUUCCAUUCAACAAUUUCUUCAUCUCAUUUCUGUGCUCCUGACCAAAGUCUUUCUUUGCUCCAAUUCAAAGAAUCCUUUUCCAUUAAUAGCUCUGCUUCAGGGCGUUGCCAGCAUCCCAAGACAGAGUCCUGGAAAGAGGGUACAGACUGCUGCUUGUGGGAUGGGGUCUCUUGUGACAUGAAAACAGGGCAUGUCACUGCACUGGACCUCUCAUGCAGCAUGCUUUAUGGCACCCUCCAUUCCAAUAGCACCCUCUUCUCCCUGCAUCAUCUUCAAAAGCUCGACCUCUCUGACAAUGAUUUCAAUAACUCCCAUAUUUCUCCUCGAUUUGGCCAGUUUUCCAAUCUGGCACUUCUUAACCUAAAUUCCUCAGUCUUUGCAGGUCAAGUUCCGUCGGAAAUCUCUCAUCUCUCCAAAUUGGUUUCACUUGAUCUCUCUGGAAACUACGAUCCAAGUCUAGAACCAAUUUCUUUGGCCAAGCUGGUUCGAAAUCUAACCGAACUUAGAGAACUCGAUUUGAGUCGGGUAAACAUGUCAUUGGUUGCACCCAAUUCCUUGACGAAUUUGUCCUCUUCUUUGUCAUCUCUUUCCCUUUGGGGUUGUGGAUUGCAGGGGAAAUUCCCAGGUAACAUCUUUCUCCUCCCAAAGCUUGAAUCACUGGAUAUGUCAUACAACAACCGCCUCACUGGCUCUUUUCCUUCGUCCAAUUUGAGUAAUGUCCUCUCUUCGUUGGAUCUUUCUAAUACAAGAAUUUCAGUUUAUUUAGAAAACGACUUGAUCAGUAAUCUAAAGUCAUUAGAAUAUAUGUAUCUCCGUAAUAGUAACAUUAUAAGGUCAGAUUUAGCUCCGCUCGGUAAUCUCACACAGCUCAUCCUUUUAGACUUCUCAAGUAACAAUUUUAUAGGUGAAAUCCCAUCAUUACUUGGAAACCUUGUACAACUCCGUUACCUGAAACUCGAUUCCAAUAAAUUUAUGGGUCAGAUUCCAGAUUCUUUGGGUAGCCUUUUAAAUCUAAGGACUCUAAGUUUAUAUGGUAACUUGUUCAAUGGAACAAUACCAUCCUUUUUGUUUGCUCUUCCUUCUUUACAAUAUCUUGACCUUCAUAACAAUAAUCUCAUAGGCAAUAUAAGUGAACUCC
Molecule: long non-coding RNA, 40309 nt
Filed under: Populus trichocarpa (black cottonwood)
Lineage: Eukaryota; Viridiplantae; Streptophyta; Magnoliopsida; Malpighiales; Salicaceae
Description: long non-coding RNA (PTRI_LNC002838)
Source: RNAcentral